UAAUAAGUGUUUUAUGGCACUUUUAAAUCCAUAUCCACCUUGUGUGCAAUGUCAGUCGAUCUUCUUCAUGGAGAUCGACCAAACAUCAACCUUUAUCUUUUAACUCUUUCGUCUGAAAAAUAUUAUGAAUAAACAAUUCAAAAUA
This 145-nucleotide unclassified non-coding RNA is filed under the name soil metagenome. Its description in RNAcentral is "partial internal transcribed spacer 1". The record is from RNAcentral.